RNAcentral lists this ribosomal RNA (402 nucleotides) under bacterium. RNAcentral describes it as "partial 16S ribosomal RNA". It matches the Rfam family "Bacterial small subunit ribosomal RNA", at positions 355 to 776 of the family's 1533-position model. The record is from RNAcentral.
UGGGGAAUUUUGCACAAUGGGGGAAACCCUGAUGCAGCGACGCCGCGUGAUUUAGAAGGCAUUCGGGUUGUAAAAAUCUUUUCUAUGGGAAGAAAAUGACAGUACCAUAGGAAUAAGGACCGGCUAAUUACGUGCCAGCAGCCGCGGUAAUACGUAAGGUCCGAGCGUUGUCCGGAAUCAUUGGGCGUAAAGGGUACGUAGGCGGGUAAGCAAGUUAGAAGUGAAAUCCUAUAGCUCAACUAUAGUAAGCUUUUAAAACUGCUCAUCUUGAGGUAUGGAAGGGAAAGUGGAAUUCCUAGUGUAGCGGUGAAAUGCGCAGAUAUUAGGAGGAAUACCGGUGGCGAAGGCGACUUUCUGGCCAUAACCUGACGCUGAGGUACGAAAGCGUGGGUAGCAAACAGG